UCAACAAAUUCUUAGCUGUAUAAGCUUGAGCAAAUUCUUUAAGCUCUCUGAGGUUUUGUUUUUGUUUUCCCAUAGAAACCAUCCCUUCAGAAGACUGCUGUGAGGAUUACAUGAGAUAUGUAUGCAAACACCUGGCAUAUAGAAAGUGCCCAACUGCUAUGAGGGGGUAAGAACAAUGGAAGAAGACGUCAUAAGACAGCAGACAUUUAAGGCAGCAUUAAACAAUGAGCAGAUUUCUCUGAUUCUCAUCAUAUGUGGAAGAAGAAUAAUCUCCAAAAGUUAUUGAGUAUUAAGAAAAAAAUAAGAAGGAUAAUAACAAUAGCAGUGGAGAGACCCACCCAUCCACUGCCUCCAGAACGACAUCCUAAUUAGUCUAAGCCAGGAGUCGGCACUCUAAAGCCCAUGGACAAAGCAUAGCCAGCCACUGCUGCCUGUAAGCUAAGAC
Molecule: long non-coding RNA, 445 nt
Filed under: Rhinopithecus bieti (black snub-nosed monkey)
Lineage: Eukaryota; Metazoa; Chordata; Mammalia; Primates; Cercopithecidae
Description: lncRNA (ENSRBIG00000045423.1)
Source: RNAcentral